AAGGCAGCAGGCACGCAAAUUACCCACUCCCGGCACGGGGAGGUAGUGACAAAAAAUAACGAUACGGGACUCAUCCGAGGCCCCGUAAUCGGAAUGAGUACACUUUAAAUCCUUUAACAAGGAUCCAAUGGAGGGCAAGUCUGGUGCCAGCAGCCGCGGUAAUUCCAGCUCCAUUAGCGUAUAUUAAAGUUGUUGCGGUUAAAAAGCUCGUAGUUGGUUCUGUGUCCCACGCUGUCGGUUCACCGCCUGUCGGUGCAACUGGCAUGCCGUGGGAUGUCCUGUCGGUGGCGGCCAUGACCCACGGCGGGUGUAGGGCAACCGAAGCUCGCCGCUGCGCGUCAGGUCGCCGAUUCAAUCCUGCCGCGGUGCUCUUCAUUGAGUGUCGAGGUAGGCCGACACGUUUACUUUGAACAAAUUAGAGUGCUUAAAGCAGGCUAACAAUGCCUGGAUAUUUUUUGCAUGGAAUAAUGGAAUAGGACCUCGGUUCUAUUUUGUUGGUUUCCGGAACCCGAGGUAAUGAUCAAUAUGGACAGGCGGGGGCAUUCGUAUUGCGACGUUAGAGGUGAAAUUCUUGGAUCGUCGCAAGACGGACUAGAGCGAAAGCAUUUGCCAAGUAUGUCUUAGUUGAUCAAGAACGAAAGUUAGAGGUUCGAAGGCGAUCAGAUACCGCCCUAGUUCUAACCAUAAACGAUGCCAGCCAGCGAUCCGCCGAUGUUCCUCCGAUGACUCGG
Molecule: ribosomal RNA, 731 nt
Filed under: Cheirochela thailandana
Lineage: Eukaryota; Metazoa; Arthropoda; Insecta; Hemiptera; Naucoridae
Also listed under: 1 other name
Description: SSU rRNA
Rfam family: Eukaryotic small subunit ribosomal RNA
Source: RNAcentral